RNAcentral lists this long non-coding RNA (411 nucleotides) under Hordeum vulgare. RNAcentral's name for it is "long non-coding RNA (HVUL_LNC002301)". The record is from RNAcentral. Lineage: Eukaryota; Viridiplantae; Streptophyta; Magnoliopsida; Poales; Poaceae.
UGGUCCUUCAAACGUUCGCGGACGUGCUCGAUUGCGUCGACGGGUAUUAACCGGACACGCCUUAUAUUUGGUACUCUCCAUCCGUAUAUCUCAUAUCAGACACCCUAUAUUCAUACUACACGUACAAUGUUGAGCUACUCUACUAAUCAAACACCGAACCAAAAAUCAGAUGAAAACAAACAUGAGAUCUACUCCAGACGGACAUCAAACAUCAAACGGACCUUGCCUCCAAAUGUUCCUAGCGGCAAUUUGAUAUGCUCACUUUGGAACAUUUGGAGGCAGCAAAAUCAACGAGUCUUCACUGGCAAAAUAACCGACUUACCGUGAAGUGUCUCACCUUGGAUUUUGGCAUGCACAAAAAUAGUUGUUUUAUACUCCCUCCGUCCCAAAAUUCUUGUCUUAGAUUUGUCU